RNAcentral lists this ribosomal RNA (301 nucleotides) under uncultured bacterium. RNAcentral describes it as "partial 16S ribosomal RNA". It matches the Rfam family "Bacterial small subunit ribosomal RNA", at positions 509 to 809 of the family's 1533-position model. The record is from RNAcentral.
CAGCCGCCACGGGAAUACGUAGGUGGCAAGCGUUGUCCGGAAUUAUUGGACGUAAAGGGCUCGCAGGCGGUUUCUUAAGUCUGAUGUGAAAGCCCCCGGCUCAACCGGGGAGGGUCAUUGGAAACUGGGAAACUUGAGUGCAGAAGAGGAGAGUGGAAUUCCACGUGUAGCGGUGAAAUGCGUAGAGAUGUGGAGGAACACCAGUGGCGAAGGCGACUCUCUGGUCUGUAACUGACGCUGAGGAGCGAAAGCGUGGGGAGCGAACAGGAUUAGAUACCCCUGUAGUCCCUGUCUCUUAUAA